Long non-coding RNA from Meleagris gallopavo (turkey), 1807 nucleotides. RefSeq lists it as uncharacterized. Lineage: Eukaryota; Metazoa; Chordata; Aves; Galliformes; Phasianidae. The record is from RefSeq and is a predicted model, not a curated record.
UUUGGCUUCCUGUUUGCUUUCAGAUUAGUUCUUCUUGCACCUGGCAGACAACACUGGGGACUGCAUCUUCUGAACACUUUUGCAAAGAGAAAAAUCCAUCACGCUUCCUCACCAGCCCAGCUCUGCUUUGCUUAUGAGCCCUGACAAGAUCACAGCUUGAGCAACGAGGAGACACAUUACAAUGUAGAGAAUGCUACCGAGGAGAGACCAAGGGGAAUAAAGAGGAGAGCAGCAGCAAUCAACACAAAGCUAAGACAUCUGGUGGAGGCAGAACAAGUGUGUUAAAAGACAAAGCAUACAUUUAUCAGCUACUUCAAAUGUACGCAGGUGGCUGACAUUCCAUGAAUGUCCUGGCAGACCAUCAGUUGGCUAGUUGCUCAGAGAUACUUCAUAAGAAACAGGUGUAUGCUUCAAAAUUGCUUGAAGUUAAUUCCUCAUGACAGAGAUACGGGGUUCCACAUAUAAGUUUAAAUAGUUAUGACCAGAGAGAGUGGGAAUAUCAGUGCAACAACUUGUAAGCUCUGGUGUUGGUGGGAGUGGCAGUUGGAGGUAUAGGACUUGGGGUCAGAUGGAGCAGAUACAUUAGCAAAGGGAUGGACUGUGCAGAAAGCAGGUUGUUCCUGGCAUCUCAUUCUGCCUGUACUUUUCUCUUUUUAUGGUGAUACAAGUUAUGCAAAAAGAUGCUGAUGUAGUUAAUCCAAAGUGAUCAAUUUAUGCUUUUCCCCAUGGUAUGUUGCUAUGGGCAUAAAUAACUGUGACUUUCAGGAAUGUGGAGACUCACAGCUGCAGGUACAGGAAAAAAAAAGAAUGUCAAAUGAAACUAGGUGUCUUGGGGAUGCACAUAGCUUUAGACUUCGCAAUGCUCUCAAACAGAUUUUCAAGCUGUAUGUUUAUCAGUCUGUUUAACUGUAUUUUGAAAAUUUGCUAAUAGAUUAGUCUAAAGCAAAUGGCCCUGGAUCUGUAGCAGCUGUUUCCAUUCUCUAAGGAAGCCUUCUCGUCCUCAAGUCCAAUCUUUAAAGGCUUUUUGGCAAUUGUAACAUUAAAAAAAGAAAGUCUUGCCCCAAGUUUCAAGCAGGAACAGAAAGAGGAAUUGCUGGUUUGAUCAAUCUUAUGCCGUGUGAGCUUCCCAUACUUAAUUUUUACCCAUCAGAUCAAAGACUAAGUUCUUUCCGACUGCACUGAACUUCUUUAAUUUCUUAGAAAAAAAGAAGCAGUAGUAUCACAGAAGGAGCAUGUUGUUAAUAUUUGAAUAGAUUUUGUGCCUCAUGUAAUUACAUGAAAAAAUAAAAUAACGAAAAUUCUGGCUUUUCAUGUAGAGCAAAUGACAUAUCAACUUUUCAGAAGUUUUACCUAGUAAAAAGUGUCUUCUGCAUUCCAAUAUGGAAAAACCUCUGUUUUUAAUUGCAUGUAAGCAAAUACCUUCCUAAUUUGUGACUGAAAACGUAUUUGUACUGGGACCUGAGGAUUCUACAGUUUUACAGAAAACUAAACCAUCGAAUGCUUCAAAGAGUUUGUAAAACUAAUUAAUUGAGAGUCUCAUACUAAUAAAAGAUUACUAAGCCUUCCAAAUCCAGGUGUCUGUCUGUGGUUCAAUUGCUGGACUUCAGGGAUAUCUAGGGCUACACUUCAGGAAAAUAUACACAAUUAAACACAUUUUUAUGUAAAUGCUAAACACUUCACAUACCUCCGUAAAGCCUGUAUGUUUAAACUAUAUGUAUGUAUUCUCUGUCAUAGGAAUAUUUUUCCAAACAAGGUCUGACAUGAUAUACAGAUGUACAGUGUAUAAAUACACCUGCUCAGUAGAGAG